Long non-coding RNA from Micropterus dolomieu (smallmouth bass), 368 nucleotides. RefSeq lists it as uncharacterized. NCBI's taxonomy places the organism in Eukaryota, Metazoa, Chordata, Actinopteri, Centrarchiformes, Centrarchidae. The transcript has 2 exons. The record is from RefSeq and is a predicted model, not a curated record.
UCUCUCUCCCUUCCUCCCUCUCUCUCCCCGCCCCCCUCACAGUUUGGGGGCCACUUUAACGCCUCCAGCCUUCUUGUGCGUCUCUCUAAGCCAUGAUAUCAGGAUGCUGUUUGUCUCCGCUGGCCUUUCCAUCUGAGUCCAGUGUCCACACUCCUCGAUGUGUCCUCUGCUCAGGAAGGACGCUGCUGUUUUUCUCACCAAGUCCUCCAUCCCUUUGGAGAAGGCCGGCAGCAGAACCUGGUCUUUACCUGCCGUCACCAUCAGAGCAGGCAUCAGCAGCUGAGACACACACACACAGUGACAGACAGACUUUCUUUGUGCAUCUCAGUCCUCUAAAGUGGAAAUAAAAAUCAGUCUUUGAACUUGAA